RNAcentral lists this ribosomal RNA (497 nucleotides) under uncultured bacterium. RNAcentral describes it as "partial 16S ribosomal RNA". It matches the Rfam family "Bacterial small subunit ribosomal RNA", at positions 28 to 507 of the family's 1533-position model. The record is from RNAcentral.
GAUGAACGCUGGCGGCGUGCCUAAUACAUGCAAGUCGAGCGAGCAGACGAGGAGCUUGCUCCUCUGACGUUAGCGGCGGACGGGUGAGUAACACGUGGAUAACCUACCUAUAAGACUGGGAUAACUUCGGGAAACCGGAGCUAAUACCGGAUAAUAUAUUGAACCGCAUGGUUCAAUAGUGAAAGACGGUUUUGCUGUCACUUAUAGAUGGAUCCGCGCCGCAUUAGCUAGUUGGUAAGGUAACGGCUUACCAAGGCAACGAUGCGUAGCCGACCUGAGAGGGUGAUCGGCCACACUGGAACUGAGACACGGUCCAGACUCCUACGGGAGGCAGCAGUAGGGAAUCUUCCGCAAUGGGCGAAAGCCUGACGGAGCAACGCCGCGUGAGUGAUGAAGGUCUUCGGAUCGUAAAACUCUGUUAUUAGGGAAGAACAAAUGUGUAAGUAACUAUGCACGUCUUGACGGUACCUAAUCAGAAAGCCACGGCUAACUGCGUG